Molecule: transfer RNA, 73 nt
Filed under: Paramuricea clavata
Lineage: Eukaryota; Metazoa; Cnidaria; Anthozoa; Malacalcyonacea; Plexauridae
Rfam family: tRNA
About the family: Transfer RNA (tRNA) molecules are approximately 80 nucleotides in length. Their secondary structure includes four short double-helical elements and three loops (D, anti-codon, and T loops).
Source: Rfam by way of RNAcentral
GACCUCGUAGCUCAGUUGGCAGAGCAUUGGACUAGUGUCCCAAAGGUCGGGGGUUCGAUUCCCACCGGCGUUG